GACGAACGCUGGCGGCGUGCUUAACACAUGCAAGUCGAACGGAAAGGCCCUGCUUUUGUGGGGUGCUCGAGUGGCGAACGGGUGAGUAACACGUGAGUAACCUGCCCUUGACUUUGGGAUAACUUCAGGAAACUGGGGCUAAUACCGGAUAGGAGCUCCUGCUGCAUGGUGGGGGUUGGAAAGUUUCGGCGGUUGGGGAUGGACUCGCGGCUUAUCAGCUUGUUGGUGGGGUAGUGGCUUACCAAGGCUUUGACGGGUAGCCGGCCUGAGAGGGUGACCGGCCACAUUGGGACUGAGAUACGGCGCAGACUCCUACGGGAGGCAGCAGUGGGGAAUAUUGCACAAUGGGCGGAAGCCUGAUGCAGAAACGCCGCGUGCGGGAUGACGGCCUUCGGGUUGUAAACCGAUUUCGCCUGUGACGAAGCGUGAGUGACGGUAAUGGGUAAAGAAGCACCGGCUAACUACGUG
Molecule: ribosomal RNA, 468 nt
Filed under: uncultured bacterium
Lineage: Bacteria
Description: partial 16S ribosomal RNA
Rfam family: Bacterial small subunit ribosomal RNA
Source: RNAcentral